Molecule: ribosomal RNA, 261 nt
Filed under: uncultured bacterium
Lineage: Bacteria
Description: partial 16S ribosomal RNA
Rfam family: Bacterial small subunit ribosomal RNA
Source: RNAcentral
UACGUAGGGUGCAAGCGUUGUCCGGAAUUAUUGGGCGUAAAGAGCUCGUAGGCGGUCUGUCGCGUCUGCUGUGAAAACUCAGGGCUUAACCCUGAGCUUGCAGUGGGUACGGGCAGACUAGAGUGCGGUAGGGGAGACUGGAAUUCCUGGUGUAGCGGUGAAAUGCGCAGAUAUCAGGAGGAACACCGGUGGCGAAGGCGGGUCUCUGGGCCGUAACUGACGCUGGAGGAGCGAAAGCGUCGGGGAGCGAACAGGAUUAGA